CUAAUUAUCUAGCAGGGGGAGAGACCGUGAUUAUGAAGGUGGUGGUCCCAGGACGAGUCUAUCUCAUUACACUUUGGGUGUGCUAGACACCUACGAUAUCCCCAAAUGCGGGAUACUCCACUGCACAAUUGGCAGUGGAAGACUAUGUUCGCGUUCUGCCCUG
Rhincodon typus (whale shark) is the source of this 163-nucleotide small nuclear RNA. RefSeq annotates it as U1 spliceosomal RNA. The record is from RefSeq and is a predicted model, not a curated record. The transcript has a single exon. NCBI's taxonomy places the organism in Eukaryota, Metazoa, Chordata, Chondrichthyes, Orectolobiformes, Rhincodontidae.